Eriocheir sinensis (Chinese mitten crab) is the source of this 2530-nucleotide long non-coding RNA. RefSeq lists it as uncharacterized. The transcript has 2 exons. NCBI's taxonomy places the organism in Eukaryota, Metazoa, Arthropoda, Malacostraca, Decapoda, Varunidae. The record is from RefSeq and is a predicted model, not a curated record.
AAAAGUAUAAGUAAACGAAUAAGGAAUUGAAACCUCUUCCAUUGGCAUUAGCGCAAAAAGUUUCUGUAAAGUACAAGUAACAGAAAUAGGAACCCCAAACUCAUAUCAGUGAAAUAAAAAAGUAGUUGUCAAGGUUCCAGUAUUGGGUGCUGUAAUCGGAAGGGAUAAAUAAAAUAUAUGGUUAGACACCAGUUUACUGUAAGUAAAGAAAACCCCAAAACAGGCCUCACAAUCUGAAGUCUCCGACACGAAGGCUUCAGCACGCCGGACUCAGCAAUGACCUGUGGCACGGCUGCUUCCUCUUCGGGGCGUCUCGUCCCUUAAGUGGCAAUGACGAGGCAGCACAGAUUCGUCCUUGAAGUGGUGUAGACGUGGUAGACGAGGGAGGCGCAGGAGGAGAAGGGGCGUCAGGUUCACGGCAGUCACGGGAGUUCAGGGCGUGGAGAGGUAGGGCACCCAGACCGAGCCCACGGUAUCUGAGUUAGCCCGAGUGAGAGCAGGGCUGGAGCUAUAGCAGACUCAAGUGUUCAGGCCGAGGCUUGGCCGCUGUCUGACGAGGAAGGCGCGGGCGGCAACCAAGUCGCCUCCCAUAGCGGGUUGAGAACCCUCGGUGGUUCAGUCGACCGAGGCGUCGAACGGCGUCAGGUGAACGAGCAGCGGGAGUGAAGCAGGUGGUUCGCUGCGCCUCGGUAGUUGAACAGCUUCGAACGGCAAGAUGCGGGCGGGCGGCAGGAGUGCCCCGGUCGUUCGGCCGCUAAGUUGGUAGUUGCCCUCACAGUAGUAUAAGUUAAAGAAUAAGGAAUCCAAACUUCUUAUGAAUGCAAGUUAAAGGAAUCCAAACCUCCCUCGUAUCAGAAGAAUAAAAAAAAAAUUAUAAGUUAAAGAAUAAGGAAUCCAAACCUCUUCCAAUAGAAUCCAAACCACUUAUGAAUGCAAGUUAAUGGAAUCCAAACCUCCCUCGUAUCAGAAGAAUAAAAAAAAACAUAAGUUAAAGAAUAAGGAAUCCAAACCUCUUCCAAUAGAAUCCAAACCACUUAUGAAUGCAAGGUAAAGGAAUCCAAACCUCCCUCGUAGGUCUUAGCGCUGCAUUAGCCUCCACAAAGCCCAUUGGCCUGCCCCGGAGCCGCAAACGUGUAAUCCCUCGGUAAAUACACCCAAACGCGAUCCGACCCCACAACAGCAAGAGAUCGGGGCGUGCAAUCAAUAGUGUGGCCCCGAGCGGAGAGCGGCGCAUCUCCCUCCACCUUCAUCUGAUAAGGAACCGCCACUCACCUCUAUUGUCUUGCCCCCCCCCCCCACACACACACAUCCCCCCUACUUCUACACCUCUGAACAUAUCCUUAGUAUGACCCUUAACACACCCUUAACACACCUUUCAUACAACUAUCCUUCACCCCAAGUCUCCUUCACUAUACUAAACCCUUAACAAACUAACACACACCUCUACUAAGUACACCCCCUAACACAUCCCUACUGCACCUUAACACACCCCUAACACACCCUUCACACAACUGCCCUUCACCCCAAGUCUCCCUCACACCCUUAAACCUCUACUACUGCAUCCCUAACAAACUAACACACACCUCUAUUAAUACAGCCCCUAACACAUCCCUACUACACCCCUUUCACACCCCUAAUACACCCUUAACACAGCUACCCUUCACCCCAAGUCUCCCUCACCCCCUCAAACCUCUACUAUACUACACCCCUAACAAACUAACACACACCUCUACUAAUACAGCCCCUAACACAUCCCUACUACACCCCUACACAGUCCCAGCACAGCCGUAACACAGCUACCACUCACCCCACGAUAUGCAACUCUCUCUCUCUCUCUCUCUCUCCGCACUAUCAUUCAUUAAGUCGUUUCCUGGCCACCUCUGUUCUCUUUUUCUCCUCUCCCACACACCUGCUACUGCAACCCAUUUAUUUUACUUUUUUUUGUGGGUGUUUAUCUUUAUGUUGUGUUAUUGGUCUUAUCUUUACGCGGGUCAAGGGAAAAACACGCAGCCUUCUCUUUCCUUAUAUAAAAAAAUCAUAAUAACGAAUAAAUAAAGAAAGACACAAACCCUUCAAUAAACUUGGCAUAUGAAGGUCAAAAAGCCGCCUUCCUCAACAACAAUUCGCUUCGGGGGCAAGGGAGGGGAAGGGAGGGGUGAAGGGGGGGAGGGGGUCAAGGGAGCGGUCAUCAGGGCGCGCCUCUGCCGACUCAGGCUCUGUUUUUGUCCCGGCGGCGCGGCCCGACGGGACCCUCGCCGCCUAAACAGCCGCGGGAAAGUUGGGCUGAAAGGUUCCCUGGACGCGGCCGUGGGGCGCUAACACGGCCUCGUAAAACCGCGGCGGCUCAAAGCAAAGGAGGGGACGGACGUGACCUGGCCUGUCGCUGAGCCACGUAAAGAAAUACAUAACAGAAUAAGACAAGAAAAUCACCAAUGUUAGUAAUGACAACGUGUUUAGAUUAGCUACCCGCAUCACAUCUUCGCAAAGGGAUAAAGUUGACUUCGCCUGUCUUGAGUCAUAUAUAAAUUAA